RNAcentral lists this ribosomal RNA (253 nucleotides) under uncultured bacterium. RNAcentral's name for it is "partial 16S ribosomal RNA". It matches the Rfam family "Bacterial small subunit ribosomal RNA", at positions 524 to 776 of the family's 1533-position model. The record is from RNAcentral.
UACAGGGGGUGCAAACGUUGCUCGGAAUUAUUGGGCGUAAAGCGCGCGUAGGCGGCCACUUAAGUCGGAUGUGAAAGCCCCUGGCUCAACUGGGGAAGUGCACCCGAAACUGAAUGGCUUGAGUGCGAAAGAGGGUCGCGGAAUUCCCGGUGUAGAGGUGAAAUUCGUAGAUAUCGGGAGGAACACCGGUGGCGAAGGCGGCGACCUGGGUCGACACUGACGCUGAGACGCGAAAGCGUGGGGAGCAAACAGG